CGUGGUAAUUCUAGAGCUAAUACAUGCUGAAAACCCCGACUUCGGAAGGGGUGUAUUUAUUAGAUAAAAAACCAACGCCCUUCGGGGCUUCUUGGUGAUUCAUAAUAACUUUACGGAUCGCAUGGCCUUGCGCCGGCGACGGUUCAUUCAAAUUUCUGCCCUAUCAACUUUCGAUGGUAAGGUAUUGGCUUACCAUGGUUUCAACGGGUAACGGGGAAUUAGGGUUCGAUUCCGGAGAGGGAGCCUGAGAAACGGCUACCACAUCCAAGGAAGGCAGCAGGCGCGCAAAUUACCCAAUCCCGACACGGGGAGGUAGUGACAAUAAAUACUGAUACAGGGCUCUUUUGGGUCUUGUAAUUGGAAUGAGUACAAUUUAAACCUCUUAACGAGGAACAAUUGGAGGGCAAGUCUGGUGCCAGCAGCCGCGGUAAUUCCAGCUCCAAUAGCGUAUAUUAAAGUUGUUGCAGUUAAAAAGCUCGUAGUUGAAACUUGGGUCUGGCUGGCAGGUCCGCCUCACCGCGUGUACUUGUCCGGCCGGGCCUUCCUUCUGGAGAACCUCAUGCCCUUCACUGGGCGUGUUGGGGACCAGGACUUUUACUUUGAAAAAAUUAGAGUGUUCAAAGCAGGCCUUUGCUCGAAUACGUUAGCAUGGAAUAAUAGAAUAGGACGUGCGUUCCUAUUUUGUUGGUUUCUAGGAACGCCGUAAUGAUUAAUAGGGACAGUCGGGGGCAUCAGUAUUCAAUUGUCAGAGGUGAAAUUCUUGGAUUUAUUGAAGACUAACUACUGCGAAAGCAUUUGCCAAGGAUGUUUUCAUUAAUCAGUGAACGAAAGUUAGGGGAUCGAAGACGAUCAGAUACCGUCGUAGUCUUAACCGUAAACUAUGCCGACUAGGGAUCGGGCGAUGUUCUUUUUCUGACUCGCUCGGCACCUUACGAGAAAUCAA
RNAcentral lists this ribosomal RNA (943 nucleotides) under Phaeosphaeriaceae sp. RNAcentral's name for it is "SSU rRNA". It matches the Rfam family "Eukaryotic small subunit ribosomal RNA", at positions 148 to 1101 of the family's 1831-position model. Lineage: Eukaryota; Fungi; Ascomycota; Dothideomycetes; Pleosporales; Phaeosphaeriaceae. The record is from RNAcentral.